This 71-nucleotide transfer RNA is filed under the name Candidatus Woesearchaeota archaeon. RNAcentral's name for it is "tRNA-Gly". It matches the Rfam family "tRNA". From Rfam's summary of the family: Transfer RNA (tRNA) molecules are approximately 80 nucleotides in length. The record is from RNAcentral. Lineage: Archaea; Nanobdellati; Candidatus Woesearchaeota.
GCGCCGAUAGUAUAGCGGUAGUACAUUAGCCUUCCAAGCUAAUUGCCGGGGUUCGAAUCCCCGUCGGCGCA